GAUGAAGAACGUAGCGAAAUGCGAUAAGUAGUGUGAAUUGCAGAAUUCAGUGAAUCAUCGAAUCUUUGAACGCACAUUGCGCCCCUUGGUAUCCCGAGGGGCAUGCCAGUUCGAGCGUCAUUUCACCACUCAAGCCUGGCUUGGUGUUGGGCGACGUCCUCUUUGGGGACGCGCCUCGAAACGCUCGGCGGCGUGGCACCGGCUUUAAGCGUAGCAGAAUCUUUCGCUUUGGAAGUCGGGGCCCCGUCUGCCGGAAGACCUGCUCGCAAGGUUGACCUCGGAUCAGGCAGGGAUACCCGCUGAACUUAAGCAUAUCAAUAAGCGGAGGA
Molecule: unclassified non-coding RNA, 329 nt
Filed under: soil metagenome
Description: partial contains 5.8S ribosomal RNA, internal transcribed spacer 2, and large subunit ribosomal RNA
Rfam family: 5.8S ribosomal RNA (bases 1-120)
Source: RNAcentral